UAGAGUUUUGAUCCUGGCUCAGGACGAACGCUGGCGGCGUGCUUAACACAUGCAAGUCGAACGAUGAAGCCUUUCGGGGUGGAUUAGUGGCGAACGGGUGAGUAACACGUGGGCAAUCUGCCCUUCACUCUGGGACAAGCCCUGGAAACGGGGUCUAAUACCGGAUAAUACUUUCUCUCUCAUGGGGGAAGGUUAAAAGCUCCGGCGGUGAAGGAUGAGCCCGCGGCCUAUCAGCUAGUUGGUGGGGUAAUGGCCUACCAAGGCGACGACGGGUAGCCGGCCUGAGAGGGCGACCGGCCACACUGGGACUGAGACACGGCCCAGACUCCUACGGGAGGCAGCAGUGGGGAAUAUUGCACAAUGGGCGAAAGCCUGAUGCAGCGACGCCGCGUGAGGGAUGACGGCCUUCGGGUUGUAAACCUCUUUCAGCAGGGAAGAAGCGAAAGUGACGGUACCUGCAGAAGAAGCGCCGGCUAACUACGUGCCAGCAGCCGCGGUAAUACGUAGGGCGCAAGCGUUGUCCGGAAUUAUUGGGCGUAAAGAGCUCGUAGGCGGCUUGUUGCGUCGGUUGUGAAAGCCCGGGGCUUAACCCCGGGUCUGCAGUCGAUACGGGCAGGCUAGAGUGUGGUAGGGGAGAUCGGAAUUCCUGGUGUAGCGGUGAAAUGCGCAGAUAUCAGGAGGAACACCGGU
RNAcentral lists this ribosomal RNA (690 nucleotides) under Streptomyces brevispora. RNAcentral's name for it is "bacterial SSU rRNA". It matches the Rfam family "Bacterial small subunit ribosomal RNA", at positions 1 to 713 of the family's 1533-position model. Lineage: Bacteria; Bacillati; Actinomycetota; Actinomycetes; Kitasatosporales; Streptomycetaceae. The record is from RNAcentral.